Molecule: ribosomal RNA, 253 nt
Filed under: uncultured bacterium
Lineage: Bacteria
Description: partial 16S ribosomal RNA
Rfam family: Bacterial small subunit ribosomal RNA
Source: RNAcentral
UACGUAGGGUGCGAGCGUUGUCCGGAAUUAUUGGGCGUAAAGGGCUCGUAGGCGGUCUGUCACGUCGGGAGUGAAAACUCAGGGCUUAACCCUGAGCCUGCUUCCGAUACGGGCAGACUAGAGGUAUGCAGGGGAGAACGGAAUUCCUGGUGUAGCGGUGAAAUGCGCAGAUAUCAGGAGGAACACCGGUGGCGAAGACGGUUCUCUGGGCAUUACCUGACGCUGAGGAGCGAAAGUGUGGGGAGCGAACAGG